GGGUGCAUAGCUCAGUUGGUAGAGCAGCUGACUCUUAAUCAGCGGGCCCAAGGUUCGAGUCCUUGUGCACCCACCA
This 76-nucleotide transfer RNA is filed under the name Skermanella aerolata. RNAcentral describes it as "tRNA-Lys". It matches the Rfam family "tRNA". From Rfam's summary of the family: Transfer RNA (tRNA) molecules are approximately 80 nucleotides in length. Their secondary structure includes four short double-helical elements and three loops (D, anti-codon, and T loops). The record is from RNAcentral. Lineage: Bacteria; Pseudomonadati; Pseudomonadota; Alphaproteobacteria; Rhodospirillales; Azospirillaceae. RNAcentral also lists the same sequence under 14 other names.